CGGGACGGGUGAGUAAUGUCUGGGAAACUGCCUGAUGAGGGGGGAUAACUACUGGAAACGGUAGCUAAUACCGCAUAACGUCGCAAGACCAAAGUGGGGGACCUUCGGGCCUCUUGCCAUCGGAUGUGCCCAGAUGGGAUUAGCUAGUAGGUGGGGUAACGGCUCACCUAGGCGACGAUCCCUAGCUGGUCUGAGAGGAUGACCAGCCACACUGGAACUGAGACACGGUCCAG
RNAcentral lists this ribosomal RNA (233 nucleotides) under uncultured bacterium. RNAcentral describes it as "partial 16S ribosomal RNA". It matches the Rfam family "Bacterial small subunit ribosomal RNA", at positions 100 to 334 of the family's 1533-position model. The record is from RNAcentral.